UAAUCAAGAACGAAAGUUAGAGGUUCGAAGGCGAUCAGAUACCGCCCUAGUUCUAACCAUAAACGAUGCCAGCCAGCGAUCCGCCGAAGUUCCUCCGAUGACUCGGCGGGCAGCUUCCGGGAAACCAAAGCUUUUGGGUUCCGGGGGAAGUAUGGUUGCAAAGCUGAAACUUAAAGGAAUUGACGGAAGGGCACCACCAGGAGUGGAGCCUGCGGCUUAAUUUGACUCAACACGGGAAACCUCACCAGGCCCGGACACCGGAAGGAUUGACAGAUUGAGAGCUCUUUCUUGAUUCGGUGGGUGGUGGUGCAUGGCCGUUCUUAGUUGGUGGAGCGAUUUGUCUGGUUAAUUCCGGUAACGAACGAGACUCUAGCCUGCUAAAUAGACGAUUUCCGGUAUCCACAAUAGUGCUACCGGCGAAAUCAAUAUCUUCUUAGAGGGACAGGCGGCUUUCAGCCGCACGAAACUGAGCAAUAACAGGUCUGUGAUGCCCUUAGAUGUCCUGGGCCGCACGCGCGCUACACUGAAGGAAUCAGCGUGUACACCCUGGCCGAAAGGCUCGGGCAACCCGUUGAACCUCCUUCGUGCUAGGGAUUGGGGCUUGCAAUUGUUCCCCAUGAACGAGGAAUUCCCAGUAAGCGCGAGUCAUAAGCUCGCGUUGAUUACGUCCCUGCCCUUUGUACACACCGCCCGUCGCUACUACCGAUUGAAUGAUUUAGUGAGGUCUUCGGACUGGUGCGCGGCGGCCGCCUGCGCGGCCGCCGAUGCCACCGGGAAGAUGACCGAACUUGAUCAUUUAGAGGAAGUAAAAGUCGUAACAA
This 821-nucleotide ribosomal RNA is filed under the name Oncotympana pallidiventris. RNAcentral's name for it is "SSU rRNA". It matches the Rfam family "Eukaryotic small subunit ribosomal RNA", at positions 974 to 1797 of the family's 1831-position model. The record is from RNAcentral. Lineage: Eukaryota; Metazoa; Arthropoda; Insecta; Hemiptera; Cicadidae.